This 86-nucleotide ribosomal RNA is filed under the name Gammaproteobacteria bacterium. The record is from RNAcentral. Lineage: Bacteria; Pseudomonadati; Pseudomonadota; Gammaproteobacteria.
CCUCUUCCCAUUCCGAACAGAGCAGUUAAGCCCACCAGCGCAGAUGGUACUGGGGUUAAACCCGGGAGAGUAUGUCGUUGCCAAUU